GACGUAGGGGACGAGCGUUAUCCAGAAUUACUGGGCGUAAAGCGCCCGCAGGCGGUUCGUUACGUUCGAGGUGACAGUUGCCGGCUUAACCGGCAGAGGACCUUGAAAACGGGCGGACUUGAGGACCAGAGAGGGACCUGGAAUUCCGGGUGGAGCAGUGAAAUGCGUAGAUACUCGGAGGAACACCGAAGGCGAAGGCAGGGUCCUGGCUGGCACCUGACGCUCAGGGGCGAAAGCCAGGGGAG
RNAcentral lists this ribosomal RNA (245 nucleotides) under uncultured bacterium. RNAcentral describes it as "partial 16S ribosomal RNA". It matches the Rfam family "Bacterial small subunit ribosomal RNA", at positions 524 to 768 of the family's 1533-position model. The record is from RNAcentral.